UAGAAAGCUGGGGCUGGUGGUCAGAAGCCCAGGAGCUUUCUCUGACAGAGCUGCAGUUGGUCAGCUCAGCAUGAGGUGCUCAUGAUGGAGAACUUAUCUGGAAACUUUUGCCACUGGGAGUGGUGAGAGCCUUGUAAGUUUUUAGGUCUCAUUCUUAAAGGUGCACUGGUUUGGUAAGAGAAUGAAAAGCAGUGUUUGAGGAGCAAACCAACUGGCAAGACUUCUCUGACAUGAAGCAAAAGUUGCACUGUAUUUCAAACAUAUGUGCAACUAUUAUGUGUCAACAAAACCACAGAUACCUGCCUUGACUUCGCAGAUCUGGAGUGAAUAUAGUGAAGAUUUCCACUCUUGGGCAGAAGCUUAGAGACAAGAGGACAUAACCAGGUGUGUACAUCCUGCGAGAUGUGACCAAGAGAUACUCAAAUCCAGACCAAUCUGGAUGUGGUCCCAGUGACCCAGUCAUCACUAGCUUCGCUGUCACGGUGGAUGCUGUUUUCCAAGCUGGUGGGAACCUGUCAGUACAGCGCCUUAGCCUGCCCUGGGUUUCCAGAAGCUUCUGUAUCUGGGGCUAGAGUGGGUGAUCAGUGCGCAUUUCAGGCUGAGUUGGCAAUCUCAGCAAGCCAGCCUGUUCUUCCUGCCCAAACGCCAGGAUUUGUUUGCUAUCCCCGACUAGCCACAAACUCGCCCACAAAUUUCUCAGAGUCCCUUGAACUCAGAUUUCUGUCCACCCUGCCGUGGGCCACGCAGGAUGAAGGUCGGAUACGUGACUAAUUCCCAAACGCCAGGCGCAAUCCAGCAGCUGGGUUCCUGGUCCCCACUGGUGCAGAGGUCCCUGAGGGAAGGCGAAGGAGUUAUCGCCUCUGGGAACGACGACCUGGGAACAAUUUAGCAAUCUCUCGCGCCCUCUAGCGGCCUAAACUUGUCAUGUCCGCACCAAAAGAUGACACAGUUCUUCAUGGAAGCCAGCCAACAUCAUUGAUCUCUUCUGCACCCUACCUGAGAGAGAUUAUUUACGUGUUAAAAAGAGAGAGAGAGAAAAAAAGAAGGCAAAUCCCCAGUCGUGGAAUUCCCUAGGAGAGGAAUUUCUGGCUCAAUCGCAGCCGGUGCUACAUGGGACCUUGCUGUGACCUCAGUAACCAUGGCCAGAGACUGGUGGGCUGAGCCUUGAUCCAGCUGCUGGCUGUCCUGGGAGGUCUCCAGCUACUUCCUGGAAGCAGCAGAAACAGUAGCAUGUUUGUAGAGCACUGCAAUACCAUGAACUUCCCACUUUCUGGGAAAGGUGGGAUUACUGUGAGCAACGGCAAAGACCUGACUCUUCAGUCUCCUUUCACUACCAGGAGGGAACUAGUACAGGGGAAGGAGACUCUGUAUGGCUCCAGGCACAGUGGAGCAAGGCUGUCACCCACUGGAAGAGAAGGACAGUCUGAAAGCUGGGACCUGGAGAUACCACUGCUCUCUUUUGUGCCCAGGUCUUGUGUGGGUCGCGUCAGCUCCUGUGACGUCAUGAAUACAACGAAGACAGCAUCCGAAAGCACUUCCUUUGGCUCUUACAUUCCUUCCGUCACCUCGUCUGCAAUGGUCCCCGAUCCUUGGAGGGUGUCAUAGAGAUGUCUCAGUGCUGAACUCUCCACUCUCACUUCUCAGCACUGUGAUGAGUUUAGAAUUUUCCCAGUGGUCGCCUCCGUCUGAAAAGGGAAGUUUCUCUAACAGAAAGUGAGAGUGGCAUUAAUAUAUGGGUAUAGACAUAAAUAUUUAGAGGGCAUUCUUUUGGGCAUAAUAUAUCCAUUUAGCCAAAUAAUAGUAGUAGCUCUUCCUUUGGACUUUUGACCUGCAUAACCAUAGGGUUUUAACUAGGUUUGAAGCACCUGGUAGGAACUUCCCUGGUAGUGCAGGCCUCAAUUCCAAUCAGAGAGUUUCUCCUAUAGCAGAUGUGCCACCAUUGUGCCAGCUGGGACACUUUUGCUGGCUGGCCAGCUGGUGAGCUUGCAGGGACCACAGCUCAUUAUACCCGUUGGUGCUGAAUCCUUUCUUUGAAUCAGUCAUGUAACUUGGCACCCCUGAAUUCCUCCAGGGAGAUCAGCAUUUCUUAUUCUAAACUUCCCUGGUAGUAUCCUGUGGCAGCAUUGACUUCAGCCCCAUCAUUCAUAGUUGUCAUGUUCUAGAAAGUUCCCACAAACACAGAAUUAACAGAACUCCCAGAGGAGAUAGAGAGUUCGGUUUCUGCCAGUCUCUGGUCACAUCUUAUUCCACCAUCAAUGCAUGUUGCGGGACCUUCUGUUGAAGAGGCCUCAAGUCACACACAAUAUUAUGCCAUUAACAUCAAACUCACGGCCAAUAGCACUGUAACCCACACUGAAGCAAAGUGCAUUUGAUACCCAGACACUAGGCAGCACUUUGACACCACGCUUGGGACUAUUUUACUGAUCAAUACACCCAAUACAAUUAAAAUGAAAGUGAACCUAACAAGACUGU
This is a long non-coding RNA of Jaculus jaculus (lesser Egyptian jerboa), 2472 nucleotides long. RefSeq lists it as uncharacterized. The record is from RefSeq and is a predicted model, not a curated record. NCBI's taxonomy places the organism in Eukaryota, Metazoa, Chordata, Mammalia, Rodentia, Dipodidae. The transcript has 7 exons.